CCCUUAGAUGCUCUGGGCCGCACGCGCGCUACACUGGUCGAUGCAACAAGUUUUGUCCUUGGCUGAUAGGCCUGGGUAAUCUUUGAACGUGAAUCGUGAUGGGGAUAGAUGAUUGCAAUUAUUCAUCUUCAACGAGGAAUUCCUAGUAAACGCAAGUCAUCAGCUUGCAUUGAUUACGUCCCUGCCCUUUGUACACACCGCCCGUCGCACCUACCGAUUGAAUGGUCCGGUGAAAUCUUCGGAUCUGAGAGAUGUCUGAUUAAUUUCGGACGCCUUUUGGAAAAGUUGUUUAAACCUUACCAUUUAGAGGAAGGUGAAGUCGUAACA
This 327-nucleotide ribosomal RNA is filed under the name uncultured eukaryote. Its description in RNAcentral is "partial 18S ribosomal RNA". It matches the Rfam family "Eukaryotic small subunit ribosomal RNA", at positions 1470 to 1796 of the family's 1831-position model. The record is from RNAcentral.